RNAcentral lists this ribosomal RNA (578 nucleotides) under Streptomyces sp. RNAcentral's name for it is "bacterial SSU rRNA". It matches the Rfam family "Bacterial small subunit ribosomal RNA", at positions 263 to 851 of the family's 1533-position model. Lineage: Bacteria; Bacillati; Actinomycetota; Actinomycetes; Kitasatosporales; Streptomycetaceae. The record is from RNAcentral.
GCUCACCAAGGCGACGACGGGUAGCCGGCCUGAGAGGGCGACCGGCCACACUGGGACUGAGACACGGCCCAGACUCCUACGGGAGGCAGCAGUGGGGAAUAUUGCACAAUGGGCGAAAGCCUGAUGCAGCGACGCCGCGUGAGGGAUGACGGCCUUCGGGUUGUAAACCUCUUUCAGCAGGGAAGAAGCGAAAGUGACGGUACCUGCAGAAGAAGCGCCGGCUAACUACGUGCCAGCAGCCGCGGUAAUACGUAGGGCGCAAGCGUUGUCCGGAAUUAUUGGGCGUAAAGAGCUCGUAGGCGGCUUGUCACGUCGGUUGUGAAAGCCCGGGGCUUAACCCCGGGUCUGCAGUCGAUACGGGCAGGCUAGAGUUCGGUAGGGGAGAUCGGAAUUCCUGGUGUAGCGGUGAAAUGCGCAGAUAUCAGGAGGAACACCGGUGGCGAAGGCGGAUCUCUGGGCCGAUACUGACGCUGAGGAGCGAAAGCGUGGGGAGCGAACAGGAUUAGAUACCCUGGUAGUCCACGCCGUAAACGGUGGGCACUAGGUGUGGGCAACAUUCCACGUUGUCCGUGCCGCAG